This 113-nucleotide small nuclear RNA is filed under the name Cervus elaphus hippelaphus. The record is from RNAcentral. Lineage: Eukaryota; Metazoa; Chordata; Mammalia; Artiodactyla; Cervidae.
ACCUGAUAAGAGAAAUAUUGUCAUCAGAAAGGAAGUUUCCCCAAGUUGAGGCACAUCCAUUGCUUUCACUUUGAGCUGACAUCAACCAAGGCUCCAAAUGUAAGUCAUUCAAC